This is a long non-coding RNA of Perognathus longimembris pacificus (Pacific pocket mouse), 1378 nucleotides long. RefSeq lists it as uncharacterized. The transcript has 3 exons. The record is from RefSeq and is a predicted model, not a curated record. NCBI's taxonomy places the organism in Eukaryota, Metazoa, Chordata, Mammalia, Rodentia, Heteromyidae.
UUUGGUGUAUUAGAGAUUUCAUGCAUUUCUAUCCUUACCUGUAUUAAAAAAAUUGUUUUCUUAUUCUAAUUUCUUGAAAUAAGUUCUUUAAUCCUUUGUUGUCAGUCUUUUUUCCUUCAUACAUGCUUUUUUUUCCUUCAUACAUGCUUUUGAGAUUGUACAUUUCCACUUAAAAUAAUCUUGUAGGCGCUUCAGUGAAGUUCUAGUAGGAAGUGUGUUGCUUUCUCACAGUUCUAGAGGAUAGAAAUCUGAGGAAAAGGUGUUAGCUGACUCAGUUUCUUCUGAGACCUCUCUUGGCUUGCAGAGGGGCAUUUUUUGGUUGUACCCUCAUAUGAUUUUUUUCUUCGAUACGCUUAUUUCUAAUUUUGUAAUUAUUCCAAAUUUUCUCCUCUUGUAAGGACACCAGUCAGACUGGGUGAGAAACCAUUCUAAUGCCUGAUUAAGUUUUAACUUAGGGACCCUAACUACAAGUUUAACCACAUUCUGAGGUGUGGGGGCUUAGGACUUCAUUGUGUUAAUUUGGGGAGUGCAGAAUCCAGCCUACAAUAUAUUGCCUACUAGUUAUUACUUAGUUCAGCAAAUUUCUCUUUUUAGUGCUAAGAGAAUGGAGCCCAGCUUUGAACAUACUAGGCAAGCCCUCUACCACUCAGCUACAUCUCCAGCUCUUUUCAAUGGGUUACAUAAAAGAGCCUCAUCUACAUACAUGCUGUGUAUUUGUUUUCUGCUGCUGUUAACACUAGUUACCCAAACUUAACACCUUUCACUUCUGGAGAAUUUUAUUCUUUAAGCUCUGGAGGCUAUAGGUCCUGAAAUCCUAGCCAUGUUGUGUGUCCAUCUGGGGCUGUAAAGGAGAGCCUUUUCCAGCUUCUAGCUUCCUUUCUUGGCUUUGGCUCCCUAUUCCACACUAAAGCCUGCAGCGUAUCUUCAAAUUUUUCUCCAUCACAUCUCUCUGACCCUGACCCUCCUGUCUCCUUCUUAUAAUAAUCCUUUCAUUUAUAUUCGGACUGGUUUAGAUAAUCCAAAAUAAUCCUCUCAUCUGGGAUCUUUAAAUUAUUCACACCCAUAAAGCCCCUUUGGCUAUGUGAAGUUUUAUAUUCAUAGGUUCCAGGAAUUCAGAUGUAGACAUCUUUGGAGGUCAUUAUUCUGUUUACCACUUGGCAGUUUUCAGGGAGUUUUGUUUUUCUUACUUUUAGAUAAGUGUGUUCUGGUCAGUACUUUUAUAAUUUGAGUCUUUAAAAAAAUAAAAACUCUCUUGAUUUAUUGAGUAUGAGGUACAUUAGACACUAAGCCUCUUGGGUAUAAGCAAACUCUUCAAUGUCAGUUUUAGGGGAGGAGCCAAGAUUCUACUGUGGGAAGCUUCUGGUCAUGUGGAGGGACC